RNAcentral lists this ribosomal RNA (301 nucleotides) under uncultured bacterium. RNAcentral describes it as "partial 16S ribosomal RNA". It matches the Rfam family "Bacterial small subunit ribosomal RNA", at positions 509 to 807 of the family's 1533-position model. The record is from RNAcentral.
CAGCCGCCGCGGUAAUACGAAGGGGGCUAGCGUUGUUCGGAUUUACUGGGCGUAAAGCGCACGUAGGCGGAUCGAUCAGUCAGGGGUGAAAUCCCAGAGCUCAACUCUGGAACUGCCUUUGAUACUGUCGAUCUGGAGUAUGGAAGAGGUGAGUGGAAUUCCGAGUGUAGAGGUGAAAUUCGUAGAUAUUCGGAGGAACACCAGUGGCGAAGGCGGCUCACUGGUCCAUUACUGACGCUGAGGUGCGAAAGCGUGGGGAGCAAACAGGAUUAGAUACCCCGGUAGUCCCUGUCUCUUAUAC